This 446-nucleotide ribosomal RNA is filed under the name uncultured bacterium. Its description in RNAcentral is "partial 16S ribosomal RNA". It matches the Rfam family "Bacterial small subunit ribosomal RNA", at positions 330 to 793 of the family's 1533-position model. The record is from RNAcentral.
GCCAGACUCCUACGGGAGGCAGCAGUGGGGGAUAUUGCACAAUGGGGGGAACCCUGAUGCAGCGACGCCGCGUGGGUGAAGGAGUAUUUCGGUAUGUAAAGCCCUAUCGGCAGGGAAGAAAAUGACGGUACCUGAAGAAGAAGCCCCGGCUAACUACGUGCCAGCAGCCGCGGUAAUACGUAGGGGGCAAGCGUUAUCCGGAUUUACUGGGUGUAAAGGGGGCGCAGACGGCGAUGCAAGCCAGGAGUGAAAGCCCGGGGCCCAACCCCGGGACUGCUCUUGGAACUGCGUGGCUGGAGUGCAGGAGGGGCAGGCGGAAUUCCUAGUGUAGCGGUGAAAUGCGUAGAUAUUAGGAGGAACACCAGUGGCGAAGGCGGCCUGCUGGACAGUAACUGACGUUGAGGCUCGAAAGCGUGGGGAGCAAACAGGAUUAGAUACCCCAGUAC